UUAAGUGGGUACACUAAUUAUCUCGAAAAGUAUUAACUUUUUUUGAAUUUUUUUUUUUUUAAACUUCUAUGUUUAUGUUUUUCUAAAACCGUAUAAUAUUUUAAUUUUUUUUACCCUUAUAUUUAUUGGUGAAACCACUAUCAACUUUUGAUUUUCAAAUGGUAACAUAUAAUAAAAAUAUUAUGAAUUAAUAAUCCCAUUUUUAUUGUAAAUUUACGCGUUAAAAAUUUUAUUUUUCGUUGAUUGGUUCGCGAGAUACAACUCCUCAAAGUAUUGGUGGUUGAAGCCGUUGAAGGAGGUGUUAUAGUCGGUAAAUGCAGCAUUGUUUAUACAUCAUGUCUUCAUUUGUAAAGUCCAGGAGCUAUAAUUGAUAAAUUCGAUACCGUACGACCUAAUAAGUAUCAGUAUUGAUAACUGUUGUACUUUGUACCUGAUUAAUUGAAUGUCUUAUUAAACCUAUAUAUAUAUAUAUAUAUUAAAUGUAUAUAUAAUAUGCUAAUUUGACCAUAAAAUCUACGUUUUGUUGAACUUGGCUGUUCGCAUCGAAUCCCCUCCAUUGUUUUCAUUACAUGACAAUAUUAUGACAUCAUUACGACGCAUAUACCUAUUAUUACCGUACAAUGAUAAUAAUAUUACCAAAACUUUGGCGAUACCUUUAUCAUUAUUUAUGACAAUAAUAUCAUUGAUUAAAAUAUAUGAUAUUAAUUAAUUAAUGAUAAAUGAUAAUAUCAAUAGAAAACCUCGUGGAAAACCAAUCAGUAUCAGUUGUGAUAAACUGGAACUUAAGUUCAAAGUAAAAAGUAAAUUGUAAUUUGUAAUUAUUUUAAACCAUGUGGCCAGCUGCAUAGUGCUUAUUAGUUAUUACUUAAAUAAUUAAAUAUUAAAUGAUUUAAAUGUAUGAUGUAAUUAGUAAUUAAACUAAUUAUUGUAUGUUUUAUACGUUAUACCGUUAAGUAUACUAACAGUUUAAAUUUCUUUAAUAACAUAAUAAUAUACUGAAGUACUUAACGCAAUAGUUUUUGAAUAAUUAAGUUUGUCGAAAAAUUUCCAUUGAUGACAUCGUAAUUUGUGAUCUAUAUUAUUAAGUGUGGCGUAAAUUUGAUAAUACCUACCACUUGGAAAGCACAACAUUUGUACAUACAAUUUAUUGUUUAAUCAGUUUUGUUCAUUCAGUUACACCACCAAAUGUUAUUCAACAUUUGAUAACACAAAAGUUGUUUUAUUCUAAAAAUUAUUAGCUGACACCAUAGCACAAACCUAAUACAACAUAAUAUAUUAUUAACCCUAUUAUUACUUAUUACCAUCUACUCGGACACAACAAGAUGGCUGCGAGGUGCCUAUCUAUUUAUACCUACAAUAUACUUAAAAAUAUAAUGUUCUCUGUUCAGAAGUACUUUUAAUUUGCAUUUAUUCAAAUUUUGCAUUCUGGCAUAGUAAUUAUUAUUAAGAACUAACAUUAUCCGUAUUUACUACAAAAAUACUUAGUCAGAUGGUUUGAAAGAUAAAUAAUGAAAUCACAUAACUUUCUACCUCCAAAUUUGCAAAUGAGAACGAUGAUAAAUCAAAAUAUUGUUUCCAAUAUAUAAUUUUGAUAGUUGAAGAUACUAUAAAAUUAAUUAAAUAUUCAACUACUCAAGUUAAUUUCAAAGAAGUUAAAAAAUCAAGUCUGACAAUAUGUAUUCCAGAAGAAAACUAAUUCCAAUAAUAUAGUAAACUAAAAAUAUGUUAAAUGAACAUUUUAGAUACUAAUGUAUUUUUUUUUUAAUUUUAACAAAUAUUAUACAAUCAAGUUAAUUAGCUAACAACAUCAAAUCAAUCAUAAAUGUGUGGUAAAUUGUACGUUUCUUUAAAAAUUAAAAAACAAAAAAUCAUAGAUUGUUCACCUUUAUUAUUAUAUAUGGAAUUAUAAAAUAUUAUCCUUAAAU
This is a long non-coding RNA of Aphis gossypii (cotton aphid), 1925 nucleotides long. RefSeq lists it as uncharacterized. The record is from RefSeq and is a predicted model, not a curated record. Lineage: Eukaryota; Metazoa; Arthropoda; Insecta; Hemiptera; Aphididae. The transcript has 3 exons.